GAUGAAGAACGUAGCGAAAUGCGAUAAGUAAUGUGAAUUGCAGAAUUCAGUGAAUCAUCGAAUCUUUGAACGCACCUUGCACCCUUUGGCAUUCUGAAGGGUAUGCUCGUUUGAGUGUCAUUGUACUCUCACACUCCCGAUCUUUGCAUUGGGAGCAGUGGACUUGGGUUUGCUGCUUCACCGUCGCUUACCUCAAAUAGGUUAGUGCAACUCUUGGUUGGACAUAGUACGGCGUGAUAAGUGUUCUUCGCCGGUGCCUCGCAAAGAGGGUGGCCGAUCGGGAUGUUGUGCUCCAAACCGUCUUCGGACAAUCUUUGACAACUUGACCUCAAAUCGAGUAGGACUACCCGCUGAACUUAAGCAUAUCAAUAAGCGGAGGA
Molecule: unclassified non-coding RNA, 380 nt
Filed under: soil metagenome
Description: partial contains 5.8S ribosomal RNA, internal transcribed spacer 2, and large subunit ribosomal RNA
Rfam family: 5.8S ribosomal RNA (bases 1-120)
Source: RNAcentral